RNAcentral lists this long non-coding RNA (294 nucleotides) under Homo sapiens (human). Its description in RNAcentral is "HSALNT0007789". Lineage: Eukaryota; Metazoa; Chordata; Mammalia; Primates; Hominidae. The record is from RNAcentral.
UUUGGACUUCUACCUUCCAGAACGCUGACUUCAACAUUCCAAGCAUUAAUUAAUUUAAAAAAGACAUCAGAAGCCAUGCCAGAGAGACUCUUUGUCACAGUCUGAUUAUGAAUCUGGAAUGACAUAAUGGACUGAAAGAUAUGUUUGCAACACGCAAGGUCAUCUCUUCAACCUUUAACCCAGUGCUGGAAGGAAGAAAAAUUUGAACACAAAGAGACACCAAAGAUGCUAGUGCAGAUAAGAGACCAUGUGAGGACAGUGAGAAGACAGCUCCUUGCAACUUAGGAGGGAGGC